Molecule: ribosomal RNA, 1162 nt
Filed under: Morganella morganii
Lineage: Bacteria; Pseudomonadati; Pseudomonadota; Gammaproteobacteria; Enterobacterales; Morganellaceae
Description: partial 23S ribosomal RNA
Rfam family: Bacterial large subunit ribosomal RNA
Source: RNAcentral
CUAACUGGAGGACCGAACCGACUAAUGUUGAAAAAUUAGCGGAUGACUUGUGGCUGGGGGUGAAAGGCCAAUCAAACCGGGAGAUAGCUGGUUCUCCCCGAAAGCUAUUUAGGUAGCGCCUCGUGAACUCAUCUCCGGGGGUAGAGCACUGUUUCGGCUAGGGGGUCAUCCCGACUUACCAACCCGAUGCAAACUGCGAAUACCGGAGAAUGUUAUCACGGGAGACACACGGCGGGUGCUAACGUUCGUCGUGAAGAGGGAAACAACCCAGACCGCCGGCUAAGGUCCCAAAGUCAUAAUUAAGUGGGAAACGAAGUGGGAAGGCUCAGACAGCCAGGAUGUUGGCUUAGAAGCAGCCAUCAUUUAAAGAAAGCGUAAUAGCUCACUGGUCGAGUCGGCCUGCGCGGAAGAUGUAACGGGGCUAAAUUAUGCACCGAAGCCGCGGCAGCGAUAUGUAAAUAUUGUUGGGUAGGGGAGCGUUCUGUAAGCCUGUGAAGGUGGCCUGUGAGGGUUGCUGGAGGUAUCAGAAGUGCGAAUGCUGACAUAAGUAACGAUAAUGCGGGUGAAAAACCCGCACGCCGGAAGACCAAGGGUUCCUGUCCAACGUUAAUCGGGGCAGGGUGAGUCGACCCCUAAGGCGAGGCUGAAAAGCGUAGUCGAUGGGCAACGGGUUAAUAUUCCCGUACUGGUGGUAACUGCGAAGGGGGGACGGAGAAAGCUAAAUCAUCCGGGCGACGGUUGUCCCGGUUUAAGCGUGCAGGUGGACUGACCAGGCAAAUCCGGUCGGUUGUUAACACUGAGGCGUGACGACGAGCCACUACGGUGGUGAAGUGAUUGAUGCUCUGCUUCCGGGAAAAGCCUCUAAGCUCCAGGUUACCAUUAAUCGUACCCCAAACCGACACAGGUGGUCAGGUAGAGAAUACUCAGGCGCUUGAGAGAACUCGGGUGAAGGAACUAGGCAAAAUGGUGCCGUAACUUCGGGAGAAGGCACGCUGGCAUUAGGUGAAGUGGUUUACCCAUGGAGCUGAAGCCAGCCGCAGAUACCAGCUGGCUGCAACUGUUUAUUAAAAACACAGCACUGUGCAAACACGAAAGUGGACGUAUACGGUGUGACGCCUGCCCGGUGCCGGAAGGUUAAUUGAUGAGGUUAGCGUAAGCGAAG